GAUGAACGCUAGCGGCAGGCCUAACACAUGCAAGUCGAGGGGCAGCACGAUUGAGCUUGCUUAACUGGUGGCGACCGGCGCACGGGUGCGUAACGCGUAUGCAACCUACCUUAUACUGGGGUAUAGCCCGAAGAAAUUCGGAUUAAUCCCCCAUAGCAUUAUCGAUUCGCAUGUUUUGAUAAUUAAAGGUUACGGUAUAA
Molecule: ribosomal RNA, 200 nt
Filed under: uncultured bacterium
Lineage: Bacteria
Description: partial 16S ribosomal RNA
Rfam family: Bacterial small subunit ribosomal RNA
Source: RNAcentral